CCAGAGGGUCGGGCGGCCGCGGGCAUGGCGACAUGCGCGAGGAAAGUCCGGGCUCCACGGAACGACGGUGCCGGGUAACGCCCGGCGGGGGCGACCCCAGGGAAAGUGCCACAGAGAGCAGGUCGCGACGGCUUCGGCCACGCGAAGGUGAAAGGGUGCGGUAAGAGCGCACCGCGCUUCCGGUAACGGCGGCGGCAGGGCAAACCCCACCGGGAGCAAGACCGAAUAGGGGUGGCAUAUGGGCCUGUUCCGGCCCGCUGCCCGGGUUGGUUGCUUGAGGCCGGCAGCAAUGCCGGCCCUAGAGGAAUGGUCGCCUAUCCCUGCAAGGGGAGGACAGAACCCGGCUUACAGACCCUCUGGCUUA
Molecule: RNase P RNA, 364 nt
Filed under: Sphingomonas sanxanigenens
Lineage: Bacteria; Pseudomonadati; Pseudomonadota; Alphaproteobacteria; Sphingomonadales; Sphingomonadaceae
Description: RNase P RNA component class A
Rfam family: Bacterial RNase P class A
About the family: Ribonuclease P (RNase P) is a ubiquitous endoribonuclease, found in archaea, bacteria and eukarya as well as chloroplasts and mitochondria. Its best characterised activity is the generation of mature 5'-ends of tRNAs by cleaving the 5'-leader elements of precursor-tRNAs. Cellular RNase Ps are ribonucleoproteins.
Source: RNAcentral